RNAcentral lists this transfer RNA (79 nucleotides) under Microbacterium oleivorans. Its description in RNAcentral is "tRNA-Asp". The record is from RNAcentral. Lineage: Bacteria; Bacillati; Actinomycetota; Actinomycetes; Micrococcales; Microbacteriaceae.
AUCGCCAUGAGCGCCAUCGUGACGGCGUACUGCUCGUCGUCGCCGACCAUCUGCUCGUUCGAGACGAGCGUGGUGAUGC